RNAcentral lists this ribosomal RNA (447 nucleotides) under uncultured bacterium. Its description in RNAcentral is "bacterial SSU rRNA". It matches the Rfam family "Bacterial small subunit ribosomal RNA", at positions 329 to 793 of the family's 1533-position model. The record is from RNAcentral.
GUCCAGACUCCUACGGGAGGCAGCAGUAGGGAAUUUUGCGCAAUGGGGGAAACCCUGACGCAGCAACGCCGCGUGAUUGAUGAAGCCCUUCGGGGUGUAAAGCUCUGUCAGUGGGGACGAAACUUGACGGUACCCACAGAGGAAGCAUCGGCUAACUCCGUGCCAGCAGCCGCGGUAAUACGGAGGAUGCGAGCGUUAUCCGGAUUUAUUGGGUUUAAAGGGUGCGUAGGCGGGACGGUAAGUCAGCGGUAAAAUUGCGGGGCUCAACCCCGUCGUGCCGUUGAAACUGGCGUUCUUGAGUGAGCGAGAAGUAUGCGGAAUGCGUGGUGUAGCGGUGAAAUGCAUAGAUAUCACGCAGAACUCCGAUUGCGAAGGCAGCAUACCGGCGCUCAACUGACGCUCAUGCACGAAAGCGUGGGUAUCGAACAGGAUUAGAUACCCGUGUAC